UACAGAGGGUGCAAGCGUUAAUCGGAUUUACUGGGCGUAAAGCGCGCGUAGGUGGCCAAUUAAGUCAAAUGUGAAAUCCCCGAGCUUAACUUGGGAAUUGCAUUCGAUACUGGUUGGCUAGAGUAUGGGAGAGGAUGGUAGAAUUCCAGGUGUAGCGGUGAAAUGCGUAGAGAUCUGGAGGAAUACCGAUGGCGAAGGCAGCCAUCUGGCCUAAUACUGACACUGAGGUGCGAAAGCAUGGGGAGCAAACAGGAUUAGAUACCCUGGUAGUC
RNAcentral lists this ribosomal RNA (272 nucleotides) under uncultured Pseudomonadales bacterium. RNAcentral's name for it is "partial 16S ribosomal RNA". It matches the Rfam family "Bacterial small subunit ribosomal RNA", at positions 524 to 795 of the family's 1533-position model. The record is from RNAcentral. Lineage: Bacteria; Pseudomonadati; Pseudomonadota; Gammaproteobacteria; Pseudomonadales.